RNAcentral lists this ribosomal RNA (450 nucleotides) under Staphylococcus aureus. Its description in RNAcentral is "bacterial SSU rRNA". It matches the Rfam family "Bacterial small subunit ribosomal RNA", at positions 1090 to 1533 of the family's 1533-position model. The record is from RNAcentral. Lineage: Bacteria; Bacillati; Bacillota; Bacilli; Caryophanales; Staphylococcaceae.
CAACGAGCGCAACCCUUAAGCUUAGUUGCCAUCAUUAAGUUGGGCACUCUAAGUUGACUGCCGGUGACAAACCGGAGGAAGGUGGGGAUGACGUCAAAUCAUCAUGCCCCUUAUGAUUUGGGCUACACACGUGCUACAAUGGACAAUACAAAGGGCAGCGAAACCGCGAGGUCAAGCAAAUCCCAUAAAGUUGUUCUCAGUUCGGAUUGUAGUCUGCAACUCGACUACAUGAAGCUGGAAUCGCUAGUAAUCGUAGAUCAGCAUGCUACGGUGAAUACGUUCCCGGGUCUUGUACACACCGCCCGUCACACCACGAGAGUUUGUAACACCCGAAGCCGGUGGAGUAACCUUUUAGGAGCUAGCCGUCGAAGGUGGGACAAAUGAUUGGGGUGAAGUCGUAACAAGGUAGCCGUAUCUGAAGGUGCGGCUGGAUCACCUCCUUUCUAAGGA